RNAcentral lists this unclassified non-coding RNA (340 nucleotides) under soil metagenome. Its description in RNAcentral is "partial contains 5.8S ribosomal RNA, internal transcribed spacer 2, and large subunit ribosomal RNA". The stretch from base 1 to 120 matches the Rfam family "5.8S ribosomal RNA", at positions 35 to 154 of the family's 154-position model. The record is from RNAcentral.
GAUGAAGAACGCAGCGAAAUGCGAUAAGUAAUGUGAAUUGCAGAAUUCAGUGAAUCAUCGAAUCUUUGAACGCACAUUGCGCCCGCCAGUACUCUGGCGGGCAUGCCUGUCUGAGCGUCAUUUCAACCCUCAGGGCCCUCCGUAGGCCCUGGCGUUGGGGAUCAGCCCUCCGGGGCUGGCCCUGAAACACAGUGGCGGCCCUCCGCGACCUCCUCUGCGCAGUAUUGUACCUCGCAGCUGGCGGCGCCGCUGGCCACGCCGUAAAACCCCCACUCCACAAGGUUGACCUCAGAUCAGGUAGGAAUACCCGCUGAACUUAAGCAUAUCAAUAAGCGGAGGA